This 408-nucleotide ribosomal RNA is filed under the name uncultured bacterium. RNAcentral's name for it is "partial 16S ribosomal RNA". It matches the Rfam family "Bacterial small subunit ribosomal RNA", at positions 28 to 526 of the family's 1533-position model. The record is from RNAcentral.
GACGAACGCUGGCGGCGUGCCUAAUACAUGCAAGUCGACAACAGCGGCGGACGGGUGAGUAACACGUAAGGAACCUACCGAUAAGCGGGGGACAACAUCAGGAAACGGGUGCUAAUACCGACUACUUAUCGAUGGACUUGCGGUGCAUUAGCUAGUGUGUGGGGGAACGGCCUACCAAGGCAAUGAUGCAUAGCCGACCUGAGAGGGUAAUCGGCAAAAUGGGGAAUGAGACACGGCCCAAACUCCUACGGGAGGCAGCAGUAGGGAAGCUUCCGCAAUGGGCGCAAGCCUGACGGAGUAACGCCGCGUGAGUGAAGAAGGUUUUCGGAUCGUAAAGCUCUGUUGGAAGAGAAGCGGUAGCUUACCAGAAAGCCACGGCUAACUACGUGCCAGCAGCCGCGGUAAUUC